This 1049-nucleotide ribosomal RNA is filed under the name Fragilariopsis kerguelensis. RNAcentral describes it as "partial Bacterial large subunit ribosomal RNA". It matches the Rfam family "Bacterial large subunit ribosomal RNA", at positions 14 to 1118 of the family's 2925-position model. The record is from RNAcentral. Lineage: Eukaryota; Bacillariophyta; Bacillariophyceae; Bacillariales; Bacillariaceae.
AGCGUACACGGUGGAUGCCUUGGCAGUUGGAGGCGAUGAAGGACGUAUUAACUUGCGAUAAGCCUAGUCAAGCUAGUAAAAAGCACUUGAGACUAGGAUUUCCGAAUGGGGAAACCCACCUGCUUGCAGGUAUCGUUAACUGAAUACAUAGGUUAACGAGGCGAACGCGGAGAACUGAAACAUCUAAGUACCCGUAGGAAAAGAAAUCAACCGAGAUUCCGAAAGUAGCGGCGAGCGAAAUCGGAACAGCCCUUAAGCUUAUUAUGUGUUAAUGGAAGGCUCUGGAAAGUGCCACGAUACAGGGUGAUAGUCCCGUACAUGAAAAGACAUUUUAAGUGAAAUCGAGUAGGUCGGAGCACGUGAAACUUUGACUGAAUAUAGGUGGACCAUCAUCUAAGGCUAAAUACUCCCGACUGACCGAUAGUGAACCAGUACCGUGAGGGAAAGGCGAAAAGAACCCCUGUGAGGGGAGUGAAAUAGAACCUGAAACCGUGUACGUACAAGCAGUAGGAGCAGACUUGUUCUGUGACUGCGUACCUUUUGUAUAAUGGGUCAGCGACUUAUAUUCAGUAGCAAGGUUAACCGUUUAGGGGAGCCGUAGGGAAACCGAGUCUUAACUGGGCGAAUAGUUGCAAGGUAUAGACCCGAAACCCGGUGAUCUAGCCAUGGGCAGGUUGAAGGUUGAGUAACAUCAACUGGAGGACCGAACCCACUAACGUUGAAAAGUUAGGGGAUGACCUGUGGCUAGGAGUGAAAGGCUAAUCAAACCCGGAGAUAGCUGGUUCUCCCCGAAAGCUAUUUAGGUAGCGCCUCGGACGAAUACCACAGGGGGUAGAGCACUGUUUCGGCUAGGGGGUCAUCCCGACUUACCAACCCGAUGCAAACUCCGAAUACCUGUGAGUACUAUCCGGGAGACACACGGUGGGUGCUAACGUCCAUCGUGAAGAGGGAAACAACCCAGACCGCCAGCUAAGGUCCCAAAGUCAUAGUUAAGUGGGAAACGAUGUGGAAAGGCCCAGACAGCCAGGAGGUUGGCUUAGAAGCAGCCA